Molecule: ribosomal RNA, 465 nt
Filed under: Vreelandella stevensii
Lineage: Bacteria; Pseudomonadati; Pseudomonadota; Gammaproteobacteria; Oceanospirillales; Halomonadaceae
Description: partial 16S ribosomal RNA
Rfam family: Bacterial small subunit ribosomal RNA
Source: RNAcentral
CCUACGGGCGGCAGCAGUGGGGAAUAUUGGACAAUGGGGGGAACCCUGAUCCAGCCAUGCCGCGUGUGUGAAGAAGGCCCUCGGGUUGUAAAGCACUUUCAGUGAGGAAGAACGCCUGGUGGUUAAUACCCAUCAGGAAAGACAUCACUCACAGAAGAAGCACCGGCUAACUCCGUGCCAGCAGCCGCGGUAAUACGGAGGGUGCGAGCGUUAAUCGGAAUUACUGGGCGUAAAGCGCGCGUAGGUGGCUUGAUAAGCCGGUUGUGAAAGCCCCGGGCUCAACCUGGGAACGGCAUCCGGAACUGUCAAGCUAGAGUGCCGGAGAGGAAGGUAGAAUUCCCGGUGUAGCGGUGAAAUGCGUAGAGAUCGGGAGGAAUACCAGUGGCGAAGGCGGCCUUCUGGACUGACACUGACACUGAGGUGCGAAAGCGUGGGUAGCAAACAGGAUUAGAUACCCCAGUAGUC